UACGAAGGGGGCUAGCGUUGCUCGGAAUUACUGGGCGUAAAGGGCGCGUAGGCGGACAGUUAAGUCAGAGGUGAAAGCCCAGGGCUCAACCCUGGAAUAGCCUUUGAUACUGGCUGUCUUGAGUGCGGGGGAGGUGUGUGGAACUCCGAGUGUAGAGGUGAAAUUCGUAGAUAUUCGGAAGAACACCAGUGGCGAAGGCGACACACUGGCCCGUAACUGACGCUGAGGCGCGAAAGCGUGGGGAGCAAACAGG
This 253-nucleotide ribosomal RNA is filed under the name uncultured bacterium. RNAcentral's name for it is "partial 16S ribosomal RNA". It matches the Rfam family "Bacterial small subunit ribosomal RNA", at positions 524 to 776 of the family's 1533-position model. The record is from RNAcentral.